Molecule: ribosomal RNA, 440 nt
Filed under: uncultured bacterium
Lineage: Bacteria
Description: SSU rRNA
Rfam family: Bacterial small subunit ribosomal RNA
Source: RNAcentral
AGAGCGAACGCUGGCGGCAGGCCUAACACAUGCAAGUCGAGCGCCUCGCAAGGGGAGCGGCAGACGGGAGAGUAACACGUGGGAACGUACCCUUUGGUUCGGAACAACACAGGGAAACUUGUGCUAAUACCGGAUAAGCCCUUACGGGGAAAGAUUUAUUGCCAAAGGAUCGGCCCGCGUCUGAUUAGCUUGUUGGUGAGGUAACGGCUCACCAAGGCUACGAUCAGUAGCUGGUCUGAGAGGAUGAUCAGCCUCACUGGGACUGAGACACGGCCCAGACUCCUACGGGAGGCAGCAGUGGGGAAUAUGGACAAUGGGCGCAAGCCUGAUCCAGCCAUGCCGCGUGGAUGAUGAAGGCCCUAGGGUUGUAAAGUCCUUUCGACGGGGAAGAUAAUGACGGUACCGUAGAAGAGCCCGGCUAACUUCGUGCCAGCAGCCGC